AAUGAUCAAGAACUGUCAAUCAAUGUCAUUUAACAGUCUAAUGUGUCUGUAAUGCCCUCAAGUCAUAAUACAUUUAUCACACAAUCAUUGUCCUUGAAUAAAACAUCAAAAGUGUGUAACAGCAAAUUAGCGUGUGCAGGUUACAACACUUGAUUAGUGCUCACUGUUACUAUGAAAUGCAAUUAUUGAUUUUUCCCAACGGCAAAAGUUCACAUUAGUUUUAUUGAGUAUUGUCAAUUAUAAAGUGACAUUUGUAUAAUUUUUUCUAAACUUAAAAACCACGAAAAUUAAUCCCCAAGAACUUACUUUUGGAUACAAAACCACGAAAUUUUAACCCCA
This 339-nucleotide long non-coding RNA is filed under the name Mytilus galloprovincialis (Mediterranean mussel). The record is from RNAcentral. Lineage: Eukaryota; Metazoa; Mollusca; Bivalvia; Mytilida; Mytilidae.